UGCUUGAUUCCCAACUUCUGUAUCCUUUCUCUCCCCACAGAUACCAACCAUCUGGCCCUAAAACAAAUCUCAUCAGUUUAUGAACCAGGCAGCCCAAUCACAGUGCCUAAUUCUCCCUAUCACACAAUUGGUCAAGGAGGGAGCAAGUGACAUAAUCUAAAUUCUUUCCAAAGAUGGAUGCAAAUGCUGGGAAAGCAAGAGUUGAAUUGCUAGCCAUGAGGAAAACGUAAGCCUGAGCUGUUUGCUGGCCAUCUUUGCUUCCACAUGGGGACGGCCUGCCUGGAAAUGAAGCCACACAGAGAAAACAGAAGAGCAGUGAAGAGAAGGGUAAAAGGAGAGAUCCCAUGACAUGAUUUGCACUCUUAGAUCCAGUUAUGCCUGAUGCAGGACCCACCCCUCGGACUUCCCAUUUCCAGGAGCUAAAACUAGACUGAGUUGAGUUUCUGUCACUGACAGUUGACAGAAAAUAUCAACAAUCCAGCCACAUGGAGCCUCAUGGCAGUACCACUAACCCUGGUCACCACAUGAAUACUGACCAGAGGCAUUUCACCUGAAUCAACUGUUUGUGUGCUUAACUCCAUCUCCUCAUCUGCUUCCUGGAAGACCCAACUGACAUAGAUGGUUACAAGAAAUGAUUUCCUCCUUAUAAAACUUUAGAUCGCACUUGCUGCUCUAUGAAGAAGGACUUGGGGAGAAACAAGUAGAAUCAGGGAGAACAGUCCGAGGGCGAUUAAAAUAAUCCAGACGGAAGAUGACUACGUUUUAGUCUGAAGUGAUGGGAGUGGUGAUGGAGAAAAGCAGACGUCUGCGAGUUUUAUUUUGGAGAUAGAGCCACAGGACUUGCAGCAAGCGCUCUGGAGGUGGGAAGGAGGACAAGGAGGAGAGAGGAGCAACCAGAAGCUAUGGUGGCUGUUAGUCUGCAGAAAAUAAUUCAAGACAGAUAUUUGCAAGCUGCAUGGAGCACACGCCCUGUACAUCCAGAUGUCAAUGUGAUCUUUCACAAGCACACUGAAAAAUUCACACCGUGGAAAAGAACUAAAGUCCCAUCCUAAUUCAUCAGAGCCUUCUGUUUCCUGUAACAAAGAAGAACUCACAAGAUCAGGAUUCCAAGGCCAAAGACUCCAGGGACAGAUUUGGGUUAGAAACCUGGCCUCAGGGAAAAGCAAAUGAAGCCUGUUCAUUCCCCAGAAGAGAAGAAAGAGAAUUGCUCACCGUGAUGGGCACACCUCAGCUUUGCUAAUUUAUCGUCCUCAUGAACCGCACCAGCACCCGAGCCUGUUGGAGACAUGACCCAAGGCUUUGGGGGCUUUCUCGCAGCUUCUGCUUAAAUGGAGGCAAGGAGGGAGCCAGUCCUUUCACCAUGACCUCUAAAUGACUCCAGUGCUGAAGGCUGUGGGGCCUUCGAUCACUCGAAAACUAGGAGACAUAUAUUUUUAGAGACAUGCUGUCAUCUGGGCAGCCUUAAGUGGAUGUUUUCUCUGUCUUUCCUCAGAUCUAGUGGGUUUGCAAGAAACCCUCCCAGGGCAGCAGCCUUAGAGGAAGUGCCUGCUAAUGCAAGAAGGAGGGCAAGGGGGACAGCAAGCUGGAGCCUGGAGCUGCUCACGCGCUUGGAAUCCUCGGCGGGCGCAGGCGGGGAUUUACGGACCUGCCUUUUCCCUCAUCAUUCCGCAGGAAGCUUCUUUAAAUGAGCCUCAGCCCAGCAGCUCUCAUGGGGCCUGGUGUUUAUAGUGGAGACUGAGAUAAAAGAACCGUGGAGAUGCCAGCCCUGGAUACCGACCCCACGGUCCAGGAAUCAUCAACUGGGCCCGAGGGCAAAUCAUGUUCUGUUUUCUCUGUGCGAAAUGCCAGAAUGCUCCUGCCUCGAAGAGGUUGACUCUGUUGUCAGCUGUGGGAAAAAACAGCCAGAGUUGCUAUUUACACCCUGAACUGCAAGCUGGGUAAAAAUAGCGCUAGCAGCUUGGUCCAGCUUCAAACCCCACUGCAGAGAGAUUAUUUUUGGAAGAGAAGAUUUUCCUCCCCACCCACAGAUCUGAAAAUGGUCACCUCCCCGGAAGAAAGGAGGAGAGAUGAUCCCACGCAAAGGUGAAACCUACCCCCUUCCCACUUUCCCUGCCCAGGACAGCACAUCAAGAGACAGACAAGAAAUGCCCUCCCCUGACAGCAGGUCAGGCCCAGCACAGCCCUGCAGCUGACCUAGUUCAAGGUACAGUGAGAAUUAAUUAACUUUGACUAAGUGAGAGGAGGCAGCUUUCUGAACCUGGAUGCUGCACCAUCCUGUUGCUUGUUAUGGCUAAAGGCAGAAAAAAUAAUUGAUCAAAAGAGUACGCAAGACCCCAAAACAAUAGCUCAGAGCCUGAGGGUCAGGAAAUUACUCUCCAGCCCUCCCACUCCGGAUAGGCCGUGAUACGGCUGUAAAAUGAUGAACAAAUUCCCAAAAGCUUGGUCUGGUCCUGUUUCUGUGUUGAGAACCCCUGGCAGCUGGGGGCUGAAAAUUCUUCCCUCAGCUACUUGCUAGAGCUCAGGACCCGGUGUCUGGAGUUCCAGAACCUCCUUCAGGUUCAGGAAGUGAUCCACAUGACAAUCAGUGGAAGAAAAGUCAUUCCUCAAUAGCAUGCCCUUUAUUCUGUAAAAAGAUAUUUUAUAGGUACAUCUAAGUAUGUGGAUUAUGCUAUCUUAGAACUCUAAAAAGAUAUACACAUGUGGAUAGUUCUUAUCAGGUAAAACUAUAUUAAGACUAUGUGAAAAACAGCAGAGAAAAAUACCAGAUCCAUGGUGUCAUGAAAUUGUUCUAUAAUCUGAAAGCGCCCAGGCUGCCCAGAGCUGAAACCAAGAGGUGCUUAAUAAGUAUUUUUAGGGAGGAAGAGAAAACACCUCCCACAUCCUACCUCCAUCCAAACCUCCUUCUACGGAGAUCCAGGAACCAAAACGAAUCUUCCAGUUUGAGAAGACAUACCUCGGCAUCCCCACCCACCUGAAAGAAAGGCGAGAGAAUGACAUAGCGCUCCCCCAACCUCUCAGCACCCCCUACCCAACACACCAGAUCUUCACUACCCUGGCCUCAGUGUGAGCACUGGGGUAGCAACAAAGUCGGGGACACCUGGGUCUAGGUGGAAGUGGCACAGAUGGGCAUGUGCCAGGGGCACAAGGGCAGCUCAUGCCUGGCUUCUCCUCCGGCGGCAGACAGACUGAGGUUUUAGUCUCAUCAUUGUCACCUGCUAGCUGUAUGACCAACUCACUUCACCUUUUUGAAAUCUGUUUUCCUCGCUAAGAGGGCUGAUACCACCCACCUGCUGGGGUUGGUGAGAACGAGCUGAAGCAGCACGUGUGAAGGCUGUUUGGUGGCUGCUGCAGAGUGAGGGCUAUUGUGCAUCCAGGGGCAGUCCUGUUUCUCCGGGGCAUAUCCUGAGCCAGAUUCGGGGAUCUGUCUUACUUCCAGCUACCUGACGAUGGGGAGUCUACCAGACGGCUAAAGUCUGAACUCUCUGAGAAAUGCAUGGCAUUGACAGAAAUUGCUAAAAAUGUCCUUUCUCCACAGUGUGAGGCCCUCCUGCACCCUGCCCUUCAUUUACUGUGGCCCUUCACCUGAAAUGAAAAUGGUCACCUCCAAGGAGCCAGAAACAGAAUCUCCCUAAUUGGGUGUCUCUGCCAAUGGGUUGUCCGGCCAGCUAAGGGCUGGCUCAGCACAGGCUUCUCAGCUGAGGGAGGUCACGGAAAUGGAGUCCCAGUGCCCCUUUCCAAGUCUCAUCUACUCAUGACAUCGGGAGGGAAGAGUUGCCGCUCUGCUGAGUCAUAGCUAUUUAAGCCAUCAGUACUCCGGGCUCGGAGACUCCCCAAGGACCUGGGAAAGACAGCUCAAUAUCCCUUUGAUCAGGACUGCUUCGGGUUUCUAUUUCCAAAGUUGAGAAAUCCAGAUAAUGCUGACUCCUGCCCAGGAACGAAGUGAGAAGUGAGCUCAGGUCUUUCUCACUGACCUCCUGCUGAGAAUUGUAGGCCAAGGUGGCCGGGCUCUCCCUUCCAGCCUAAGUCAGCUUCCUUCUGAGUCAGCUUUCUUCACCUCCCUAUUAAUAGCCACUGCUUUGGCUGACUCCAUGCACAGUAUGAUUACAGUUUAAUAAUACGUCUCAAACCAGGAAGCAGUCACCUUCCUGGAGCUGGGCUGUGGAGGGCCCCCAGAGCAGAGGCUCCAUCCCAGAAAACAGAGGCCAGAACAGCUGCAGAGAGGCUGGGGAGACAACGUAAUUGGCCUGCAAGACAAGUCACUGCUUUGGGGUUUCUGUCUCACUGAGCUUCCUUUUGUUUAGCGCAGGAGACAUGGACACAGGCUAACUUUCAUUUUAUUCUCACAGAUAUUCUUGGGCAGGACUGAAAAAGUGUGGCUAUCUUAUCCAAUUAUGCAGACCCCUCAGCUCACUGGAACGGCCAGUUCUAGGCCAACCUGGGGUUAGCCCCUUCCAGUGUCACCUUUUCCCUGUCACGACAGUAACACGGUGGCCUACUUAAAGAGGCUCAGGGCCAGGUGCAGUGGCUCACACCUGUAAUCCCAGCACUUUGGGAGGCCAAGGUGGGCGGAUCACGGAUCACCUGAGGUCAGGAGUUCAGGACCAGCCUGGCCAACAUGGUGAAACCCCAUCAUUACAAAAAUACAAAAAUUAGCUGGGCAUGAUGGCAGGUGCCUGUAAUCCCAGCUACUCGGGAGGCUGAGAUGGGAGAAUCACUUGAACCCAGGAGGCAGAGGUUGCAGUGAGCCAAGAUCGAGCCACUGCACUCCAGCCUGGGCAAUACAGUGAGACUCUGUCUCAAAAAAAAAAAAAGGAUCAGAUUGUCCAGAUGGGAUGGGAUGCUGAGACCAGAAUGAACCCCAGCAAAAAAUAAAUAAUUUUUUUUUCACUUCA
Molecule: long non-coding RNA, 4892 nt
Organism: Pan troglodytes (chimpanzee)
Lineage: Eukaryota; Metazoa; Chordata; Mammalia; Primates; Hominidae
Exons: 6
Source: RefSeq, a predicted model, not a curated record